CAUUUUGCCUUUAAGUAGUUUGUGACAAAUUUGUUCUCCAGUUUUUUGGGCAUAAGAUGUUUUAUGCUUUCCUUAUUGCAGAUCUGAGUUUAUAUUUCACUGCUUUGUAUUUUUCCAUGUCCCCACUCUUGAAUGCAGUAUUUUUCUUUCUCAAUUCAAUUAGAUUGCGUGAGAACCAGGGUUUAUUAUUGUUACCAAAUUACGCCACAGAUUUAAUAGGUAUACAGAUGUUCUUGCAAAAGUCCAUGUAUGAUGUCACUGUGUCUGUGUAUUCAUCCAGGUUUUCACAUGACUCAUUCAAAGCAGCCUCUUAGUGUUUCAGUUGUAUCAUUUGACCAGUUUUUAACAGUUUUGGUUGCAAGUAGGAACCAAGUGGAUCGAUGUGUGGUCGGAUGUUCCCAGGGGUGCUUUUGCAUACGUACGAUAGGCGGAUGUGAUUGUGUUGUAGCGUCACCAGUUGGUUUCCAGUUCAAAGCCCAGAGUUGCAGAUUAUGGUCGGUGCCACCUUUUCCGUUUGGAGUCAGGACCUUCCAGAUAAGGAGUGUGGGGUGUUGCCUUCCACGUUCUGGAAACAUGCCCCGCUACCUCAGACCGAAGCUAACGCUAGCUUACUGGGAACACAGAGCGCUAACAUGGCAGGUAUCGUUAUCAAGUAACAUUAAAUUUAGUGAAAUAUUGCAACAAUAGUCUGAUUCAGUGUGAGUCCCGGAGCCAGAACUGUCAAUCACAGCUGUCAAUCAACAACCACAUGGCGGACAUCAAAGCCACUAUUCAUCUUUAUACUGUAUCUUAUUAUAGCAGCAAUAAUUUCCAAAAUGACCACCAGCACACUUAUUAGAGGGCCAGAAUUUAGAGACUGAGACCAUAACCGCUUGAGAAGUUGAUGCUUUUUGAUUGGGAGUCUAUUGGAGCCAGCAUCUAGAGACCAUCAGUGUCGCACUUUAAGGGACUUCCACAUUGGCUUCAAUUUCAAGCCGUGGCUGUUGCAGUUGAGGAGGUCGGGUUCUCCGGCGCCCUCCUGGGGAGACUUUGGGCUUUGUCCUGCUGAAUGUCCAUGUCUGUUACAGACAAUUACAGAAGGUUCAUCCUCCGGAGAGCAGGAAUAUCCACAGUUAAAGGUUCUGAAGAAGGCAAAAUGUUGCCGAAAUGUCAGCUUAAGAAAUAAAAUCAGCGCUGCAGAACCGUCAAAGUGCUCCAGCCUCUAAACAUCAAGGUUUAUGUGCUUGUUCUCUACCAGUCUGAUAUGUUUUACUGUCUACCUGGAUGUGAUCUGAUUUGAUGGUAUACCUGCUCUACGGCACCUCUACAGCCUGUUUUUCACUCCACUUCACUUCCUCCUAAUGCAUCUGCACUCAGACUGCUUAACUCUGCACACACACACACACACACACACACACACACACACACACACACACAGUGGGUCAGAGUACACUGGGUGCCCUUGGCGAGACAGAUAAGCCGGCGUUAUGUGAUUACGCAGCUUGGCUAUUGUGCAACCCCAUGACUCAGUGCUCUGAUUGGAGGAGGCAAAGAGAGAGAGAGAGAGUUGUGUUUGUGUGUAUACUGUAUGUCCUCAUGGAUCAUUCUGUUUAAAGUAUAUUUCUUAUAUUCUGAUAUAUUAAUGCUUUGGCAAUAACUUCAUUGUUCAAUUGUUCCAAUAAUUCAUUGUUGGUUUGUUCUCUUUGCUUUUUAGUGAAAUUCUGGAUAAUUUGAACAUAUACUGAAAUUAAACCAUGUGUUUGAAGUUUAGAACUACUAACAACUAAGAGACAUCUGAAAAAUGACAAAGAUGACACAACUGCUUUUUUACAAGGGGUCACAAGCCAAAAACAUUGGAAAUUACUGGUUUAAUCUUUAACAAUGUGUUGUAAUUCAUAAGCUUAUUAUAUAGGUUUUAAUGCAAUGUCUUAUCUUGGAAAAUAACUGGUGACUUCACCUGUCAGAUAAAUGCAGUGGAGUAGAAGAAUAAAAGUAAAGCACAAGUACCACAAAAUUGUACUUAACCACAGAUUUGAGUAAAUUUACUUUCCACUGCUGAUGCAACAAGGUGUGAUGAGAUUUGCACACAAGUUUUCACAAAUGUUUCACAUGUAACAGCGGCGAGUUUCAAUCACUGUUUAUGCCUGCAGGAUUUUAACGUCUAGUCCAAAUCUCAAAGUCUAAAAGACACCAAAUGCUGACUGAAAUGUGAAUAAAAUAAUGCAAUAAAGUCAGUGUGAUGACGCACUGUAAAAAGAUAAUACAGCCUUACAGAUAAAAGAAAACAGGACGCACUGAGUUCAUCAGCGGGGUGUUGGCGCUGGUUGAAUCCUGACUAUAAAAAGAGAAAGAAAGCAGGACAGAGAGGAGGCGAGGUGAACAGAGAGACAGAGAGGAUUAGUGUUUUCAGCUUCAGAGGAGGAGGAGGAGGAGGAGGGAGGUUUUCCUCUCUGCUGUCAGCAUUAACCGCUCUGUAUUGUCACUCUGCUUGGCGACGAGCCGCAGUGUCAUCUCACUUCACAGAGGAGAUCAAGUGAUGACUCGGGUUAUGUAACCUCUGAUCUCAUCAGCGAGCGGCGUUUUUCACGGCGAGGACGAGGCCGAAUCAGCCGGCUGACUGCUGACUUGGCAGAGGAACCACAUGACCUCACUGCACACCAAGAGUUAGUUUCCAAACAUGUUGCUCGUUCAUCAGCCGCUGACACCCGAGGCAUCCAGACAGGAAACCUGCCCUCAUUCUGUUAAACAACAAUGUGAAGCUGCACAAGUCCAGACUUCAAACCAGGAAGAGUCUCAUUAACUUAACUGCUAUUUAAUGUUGCUGAAAACACAUCACAACAAUUAUUCUGACUUAAACUCCCAAUUUGUGUAAUUGGGACUUGUUGCUACACACAUUAGUCACCACUUGGCCUUUUCAAAGAGGAAGAUAAAGUGUUGCUAUCUGUUGAGACACCGCUAAGUGUUAAGGAUGUGGCAGAUGAAUGAUAACUAGUUGAUGAUGUGUCACAUUUGUUUACUAGAUGGUUGACUGCUACGUUGCUAGGGUGCUAGCAGUGUUUACUGGUGUGUUUAGUUUGCCGUUACCUGGUUUCUAUGGCUUUCAGGGUGAUUGACAGGAUGUUAGUUUGUGCACAGAACCAGGUGAAGCAGGCGAUUGGAGCACAGCAGAUGAGGUGAGAGCUGCUUGGUAGGAGGCCAAAAUGUUUGAGUCGCCCUGCCAAAACAAACCUCCUCCGUCUUCACUACAAUGAGGGCCGAGAGCCAAGAACAAAUAUGAAUGGUCUGUUCCUUGAAGAUCAGCAGAGGACAAUAAAAACCUCCUCGCUGGAACAUGGUGACUCAGAGCUCACUGAACUGGAAACCUGAGAAACUAUUUUAUCUGAGAAAGUGAAACUACAGCACAUGGAAACACUAAAUUAAUUCAUACAGAAUUCUUUAGACUUUCACUGAGUUCACAGUGAGUUUAACUGUGUGUUCAGACAGAAAGAAGCAAAUUUUCAUCUCACAUCGGUGACACAUAUUUGACCACUGGAUCGUUCGUGUUUAUUCACCCCAAACAGCCAAAAUACCAACUGUACUUUAGCUGUAAACUAGCUAGCACAGUGUUUCUGUGUGGUUGUGUUUUCUCUGAAGACACAGUAAAGGAUCAAAACAGUAACAACAGUAACAUUUGUGUGUCAUCUGCAUAGCUUUAAUAAGCAGUUUUAUAGUCUUGCAUGAUUUGGCCGAGAGGGGCCGUAUACAGAUUGAAUAAUAAAGGGCCUCCACAUGUCCUGGUGAUCCGCUCAUAUUUACACAUGACAACAACACAGCUCCUGUUUUCAAAUUAUGAGCUAAAGAUAUAUACUGAUAUAUAUAUCACAAACAUUAUGGGGAGACUUGGCAGAGAAAGCAGCUGACGAGAAACAUGCAAAGUGAGGAAAGUCAAGUCUAAAAGCCUCUAUAGCGCCACCUGGACGCUACGGCAUCCAUAACACCCGCUUAAACAAGAGUUCGUCUUCUUGGGAAUGUGAUCAAGACAUUUAAUUAUAUUAUUAUAAUCUGCCCAUUAGAUUUUAAUAUAAUUGGAACUAGAACAAAGGUCCUCUGAGUAAAUUUAAUUAAAAUCUGGCCAAUAGCUGUUGAGAUUAUGUUGGUUUACUUGUUUAACCUUAAAGCUAAACUAAAGCAGAUUAGACUCACUCAGUAUGAACAGUUCUUACUAUUUUUUCUGGUGAAACAAGUUAUUCAUUAAUUAAUAAACUAUUAUAUUACAUUUCUUCCUUGAAACGGUGUUUCGCAAAUGAACCUUUAACCGCCACCACGCAGCUUCUCGGGCCACCGACCCCAGUGACGAUGAGUUGUCGCCUCAUUGCAUGACAUCAGCGGUAAACACUGUUAUCAUGCCAAGAGCAAGGGGUUAUGGGUGAAUGCCCGCCGCGGGAAAGGCUUUCAUGUGUCACCAGAUUUCCAGAGAGCUGGGCCAGGCAAUUAUGUGUUAGUCACUGUUUUCCUAACUGUUGAACUGUACUCAGCAGUGAGCUAUUAAUAGGACAGAGGCAAUGAGACGAUGAGGAAACUGAAGGCAAAUUAAGGUGAUUCAUCAAGUGUUUCCACAUCACCAUUGAUCAGAUCACCAUUUAGAUAUCAUCAUAAACAAAUUAUGUCAUAGCUAAUCCGGCAGCUCAGAUUUUGGAGGGAAAUCCUGCAGACUGCUUUACAAGACAGAGCAGAGAGAGGGCGCUGUUUUACAUCUUUCAGACUUCCUGCUGAGGAUUCAGGAAGGUAAAUGCUAGGUUGGAUGGGACGGAGGGACGAACUCUCGCGAGGUUACGGUUUAGGUUAAAAUCUUGCCAGCGUGUCGCAAAUGAUCCCUCCAGCUCAUCCGAUCUAGCAGCAACCAGUCUGGAAGCACUGAAAGGUUGACGGUCAAAGAAACAACUUAUGUUCGUCAGGAAAUAACGGGGCUGAUGGGAAAUGUGGUCUUCAUCUGGAGAUACAAAAGAGCUGAUGUGAGAUAGAUGCAACUCUAUAGAGAGUCAAAGUGAAACCAGAACUUCCAGGUUCUCUUCCAGAAGUAAAAAAAAAUCUUCUGCUAAUAAAUAAAAACCUUGGAUCAGAACCUUUCUCAACAGUACAUCAUGUCACUUGCUUAUGUUUAGAUAAGAAUGGGAGGUUUUUUUAAAUACCAUUCAAUAUUUAUGUUUUUGAGCGGCCUGUGAUGAACAUUGUUUCCCAUAAGCGAUAGAUGCUCACAGGCUAAUGUUGCGUUGGAUGGUCGGGAAGGACCUGAGUGUUUACAUCAUCCGACAACUCAGGAAGGUUUUUUGAUAACUGAGUUGGUCGUAUGAGGGUUUAAAAUACUGAGCAUUGACAAAAAUAUUAUAUCCAAUAAAUUUGGGUUUAAUGAAGUUGACUGUGGUUGACGGGAGGCGUCCAUAUCUGAUGGGUUUUCAGGCACUUCCGUAUUAUUGAGCACCAAAUCGGAUAUAUCGGAGCUUUCAGGAGUUUCCCACUUAUAAUUAUAACUUGGAGGUUGAUGUGAACAAUAUUUACAAGUCAGAAACUUACAGUUACUCUGAUAUGACAUGAAUGUUUGCAAAACAUCAUGGCUCGACAGAGGAGACGAGUCCAUGAGCGAGCGCAGGGCGGCGGUGAGUUCAGUCGUGUCUGUAAUUACAGCAGGACUGUUAGACGUCUUUACACAGCUCAGAUUACAGAUACAAACAGCAACAGUGAUGCAGGAGGAAGCGUCGGGGAGUUUUAUAGAUAUGGACGAAACCAAGUUAUGGUGAUGUAAGUAUCUGCACUGCUGCAUUAGUAGUUCUUUUAAUGGGA
Thunnus maccoyii (southern bluefin tuna) is the source of this 5796-nucleotide long non-coding RNA. RefSeq lists it as uncharacterized. Lineage: Eukaryota; Metazoa; Chordata; Actinopteri; Scombriformes; Scombridae. The record is from RefSeq and is a predicted model, not a curated record. The transcript is spliced from 3 exons.